Molecule: long non-coding RNA, 4189 nt
Organism: Xiphophorus hellerii (green swordtail)
Lineage: Eukaryota; Metazoa; Chordata; Actinopteri; Cyprinodontiformes; Poeciliidae
Exons: 2
Source: RefSeq, a predicted model, not a curated record
AUUAUCCUAUUAUGAGCAGUUUAAAGAAAACUACCUCAAAUCAUCACUUGUCUAAAAGGGAACAAACUGAUGCAUAGCAGUUUUUUCCCGCAAAUAAAAAGGCAUAAAAAAAUGACACAAAAUGAUGAGAUGAAAUGAUCCCCAAUUUGUGCCAAACUGUUUUCUUUCACGAGAACACAUUUUGCUACAAAUGUCAUAAAUCCAGUUACUUGGUCCUUUGUUUUGUGUAGUCCCAGCACUGCUUUGCCUUUUCAGCCUUUUGUAUUUGACAAAAUGUGAGAAAGUUCAAGCUGGAUACUGUUGCAAGGCUAUAUAGUGGCAACUUUUGUUGGGAGUUUGUUUUUCUGCUCAUUGUUUCAUUCUGCAUAGUUUCUGCAUCUUUUGCAGUGAUGGAUUGCCCCAUAGCUCUGCAACAGCCUGCAAACAUUUGAGAUAAUCAUAAGGCAAACACAGAAUCAAUGCCUCUCAGCCUGCAGAAACCCAAUCCUCCCCCUUGACUCACUAAAAGUACAGAAGCACCUGCAACAGAGAGACACGGCGUCACUUUAAGGAGUAAUCCACAGACGAAGAUGGAAUAACUGUAGGGAAAGAAGAAGAAGAAGUGUCCGUGUGGACGCUUGGAUGUGCAACUGAUAGACAAGGAAAAACGAAGAGACAGAGGAAAGAAAGAUAAGGAGAAAGAUAAAGACAAAGAGACACAACAUUGCAUUAGACACUAAGAGCCAUUCCUUGCUCGCUAAAGGCUAAUGUAAUUGCCACACAAUAAGAGCGUCUCAGCGGAGGCUGUAAAAAGAACUAGAGAGGGGAAUGUAAGAGGAGAGGCAGGGAAGGAGGGAGGAGGGAGUGUUAGGUUAGGGAGGAGGGUAAGGGAGGACCGGCAGCUCUGCCUUCAGACUCUCAUAUGAAUCUCCUGGGACAAUGGGUGAAAGUCUCUGUGAAUCUGUACUGUAACUCUGGGCUGAGUGGCUCACUUGCUGUGUCUUCAGGGUGAUUGAUCAGGCUUGCAGGGAGGAGAGACGGAGGAAAGAGAAGGGGAGACGAGUCCAGUAGCAGGCAGGCAGCUGGCUGGGUGUGUUAACUCCACAUCUGACCUCUAUGGGAGCAGAGUUGCCUCCUCUCCUCUCCAAGCAGACUGUGGGAACUGGGGGGACAGAGCUUUAUCCUCCCUCCCUCCACACCACCACCACCUCCCCACCUCUCUCUGCUUCUUGCUGGGCCAUAGAGCUCAGAGAACUGGCACUGGACAGACCGGGACAUGACAGGACAAGACAGCUCUGGCAGUCGAGCCCUCUGAGGAUUUCCACUGCAGAAGGAGUUCUGGAGCCGCCUCCGUCACUCAGACAGCCGGGCGGGUUUCUUGUCAGUUAUUAGCCAGAUUUUAGUUUGUCAGCCAGUAAUUCAGUCACUGGGGUCUCUUCCACUCUGUGAAUAUCCUCAUCUGAACUCUGAUGUGACUCAGACGCCGUCCUGGACCACCAGAGGACCGCCAGAGGGUACGGUCACAGGUGUUCCACAGCUGCUGCGGAAAAGAAGCAUCUGGAGUCCAAAAACAAUGUAAUAGUGCGGAGGGCGGUAAAGGGCAGAGAGGUGGAGACCGGGCCUCUGGUCUCGCUGUUUAGGGGAGGGUUCCUGGCACCGUGAUUUGAUGCACAAAGAGAAACAAAAAUCACAUUGCCAGGGAUUUCCACUCCUUCACAGCUCAGCAGGACGUCUGUCCCGACCUCACAUUUCCACUCAGGGACUCAUUUUGAGGCCGGAUUCUGGAGCGCUGAAGGAAUUAAACCAAAAUGCUAUCAACCCAUCUCUGCAGACCUCUAAAAGGUUAAGUUGUGUCUGUGUGUAUUUAAGGCUGCAGCUGUUUGAAAUUUAAACUAUCCUCACCACUCUCUGCUCUAAUGUGCCAGGAAAUGGAUGUAAAUGCAAGCCAGAGCCACACAGGAGAAGGUUUAUAUUUCAGAUGUUGGAUUUUAGGGUUUAUAAACAAGGAAUUUAUUUGGAGAGCUAAGAUAAAAGUGGAGAUCCCUCCACUGCACCCUCUGAACACUCUGCAGAAUCUGAAACCACUGACUUCACUGCCGACGUCUCACGUAAAGGUCUGCAUAAAUCUCAGCCAGCCGCCCACUUGCUAAAGGCACAGAGCUUAGCUAAUUGGUGAGCAUUGAUCCCUGCAAUGUGUUGUUCACAGUGGCUAAGUUCAGUGCCCGAGGUGAAAUAGUUGAUUCAACGUGGAGGAUUUGUUCCGGUGGAUGGACUGAACUUGAUGAUCUCGGAGAAGCUGAAAGAAGAAGGGAUCAAGGAAGGGAAGGAGGAGUGAGAGGUCAGGAGGAGAUGAAAUGACGGAGAAUAAGGUCACUAUUAUGGCCUGAAGUGUGAUUUUUGAACUUGUACUGGUCUUGUGCAUGAAAGAAACUUUUGCCAUUUAGAUCAGUAUAUUCUCAUAAACUGACCCAAAAAUCUGACCAUGUGACCCAUGUACAAUAAUUUAAAAUAAUACUAACUGGAGCGAGCUCAUGACGUCUUUUCUAAUUUUAUCCCUGCAUUAACAGCAUUCAAGCCUGUGCAAAAAAAAUUCCAAAAUCUUAAAUAUAUAUAAUCAUAAAGUGAAUAGAGUGUCAUUAUUGAUUGAGAGUUUAAACGUUUGUUGUGACUGGAUAAGUCACUGCUUCUUCCUGCUCCUCUUCAAACAUAUUUUGUUUUUGAUUUUACGAAUCGUUUAUUUGUUGCUAUUUUUUUGCCUGCAUUUGUUUUACUGAUGUUUUAAGGAAGGAAGGAAAAAAAAAGAAAUACCAACCCAGUUCAAGAAAGGGACAAGUUAUAAUUUUACUUAAGGCAGUUUUACUUUUAAAUUUGUAAAAAAAAUUUCACAUUUUUAUUGGCCUAUGGUAUAUUCAUGGUGCCCUUUUAUUCACUUACUAGAUUCAACACUUUCCUGUUAUGAUGGAAAUCACAACAUUCACUCUGACCACAAAAGUUUGAAUUACAGUUUCCAGCAUUUUCUAAUUUUCUCGCUCCAGCCCACUCUGCUGACUAACACAACCCAAAGCCGUACGUCGUGACCGAGUGGAUCCAAGAGUUGAGUUUGCUGAUGAUUUGAUGACUUUCAGAGUCUGUUUGAGGUAUUUUGGAGCCAACACACGAGCACUUGUGUUUUCUGACUCAUGGUAACAUCCAUCUUUAGUCUGAAAUAGAGCCUUUUUACAGUGAUGCCAUUAAUCUUUAUCUGUGAGAAUGUCACAGUAUGUGUACCUCAGUAUUAAACUAAUUUUUUACAGGGUUGGUGCAACCUAUUGCAAAGGAGUGAAACAAAAAGAUUCUUAAAUAUAACUUGAAGUUUGCCAUUGUCCUUCCUGUGCUGCUCUGUUUUUAGAAUAAAAUCUAGUAGUACAGGUAAAUAUUAGUGAUAUUAACACUCCCAGCAUGAUAAACUCAGAAUAUAUAACAUUUUGUAUCCUUCCUUUGUGACUAUAUUACUUAAAAAAAAAAUCAUUAACAUAAAUAGCUUUUUUAACCCCAUUUUGAGUUGCACAAAGUAAAGAUUUCACAUAGUCUAGUUGAAGUUAGAGAUAUUGUCAUACGCAUAAGACGUGCAAGCUUGAAAUAUUUUUCCUUGUACAUCAGUCAGUGACUUAUUUCAAUAGAUAUUUUCAAUAGACAUCUUCUCAGCCUUUAAAAACAUUGCAGUAAAACAAGAUAAGAUGCGGAAAAAAACGAUAAUAAAAGUCUUAACUUGAAGCAAGAAAUAAUCCUGUUAUGAUGCUGGGAAUUGUUUUGGAUGAUUGCUGCUGGAGACUCUGACUUCAGAUACCGUUUGUUGUUAGAGUAAUGUCUGGGAUUUAAUAUUUGUGGCAACGCCAGUGAGCUGUGAAAAUACAAUUUGUGCGGACAGUUUAUGAAAAGCGUGACUUAUCUUUGUGUGCAUGGCAUGCGAAAUGUAGAGUAAGCAUAUUUGAUUGAGCUAAGAAAUGUGGGUUUUGUCUCAGCACUUCUGGUCUUUCUGUUUCAUUGAGCAUGAUUUGCAAACUUUGUCCAGACAGCAGCCAAAACACUAAUUAUUACAUUAGAGCGUUCAAAACAAAUGCUAAGUUCAUGAAGCAUGAGAAUAUUUUUUUUCUGUAAGUUUUGUUUGCACACAAUUAACUAAACAUGUUUCUAAAUAUGCUACAGACUAAAUUAAAAGCAGAUCAAAUCA